Molecule: long non-coding RNA, 151 nt
Filed under: Cricetulus griseus (Chinese hamster)
Lineage: Eukaryota; Metazoa; Chordata; Mammalia; Rodentia; Cricetidae
Description: lncRNA (ENSCGRG00000026493.1)
Source: RNAcentral
CAGCAGAGAAAGAAGUGUGGAAGACGGAACCUCCUUCCAAUCCUAGGGGCUCCUGGAAGAGUUGAACCCAGCUGGAAAAAAAGCCCAAAGGAAGCACCAGCUCCAGCUUAAUUCAAAGCGACUCUCCCCAUGUGGCCCCUAGAGGGCGCCC